ACAACAUGUGUGGGGGCUCCUGUUCAAAUAGCAGCGGGCCGGCCCAGACCCCCGGUGCUGCCUUCAAGUGACGACAUGUAAUCUGAGAGGAGCCCGUGUAUUAUUAGCAGGACUCCUCGCGGACCACUCCAGUCAGCCCAAUGUUGCGUUCGCGGCACCAACUAAAGUGGAAAUUGAGUGUUCUCCACUACGAAGCUGCGGUAAAGACUUUUACCACUUUUUUUUUUUUUUUUUUUAAGUUUGAAAUGUGCUCAAGCCGCUUGAAGUAGUCGCUAUACGGACCCUUGUGCUGCUGAAGUGGUCGCGGAUUUAUUUUUAUUUUUUUUAAAGAGUGGCCAACAUGGCUUUACUGCACUUGCUGCUGUGCGCGGGGAUGUUGCCGGCGUGCGGAGCCCUCUACAGCGGUCCUCUACAACCGGAGAUGUCGAACGGCACCUUCCACCACUACUUCGUGCCGGACGGCGACUACGAGGAGAACGACGACCCGGAAAAAUGUCAGCUGCUGUUCCGGAUGACCGACCACCGGAAGUGCGGUCCGGACCCGGACCAGGACUCGGUCAUCCGCGACGACUUCACCAUCAUCAAGCGGCAGAUUGAAGACUCCGCGCGGGUGCUGGAGGUGGUCGGCAGGAGCGUCUCGUACGACCUGGACGGAGAGGACGGCUACGGGAAGUACCUGCGCCGGGAGACCACGCAGAUCAGCGAGGCCUUCACGAACUCCGAGAAGUCGCUGCUGGAGCUGGAGGUGAAGUUCAAGCAGAGCCAGGAAGGCGAGCUGAAGGAGGAACACCGGCUCGGCGACGACUUCCUCAAGAUGGUCGUCAACACCCGGGACGCCCUGAAGGAGACUUUGGACAUUUCUUUGGGGCUGAAGGACAAACAUGAGCUGCUCUCCCUCAUUGUCCGCAGCCACGGAACACGACUCAGCAGACUGAAGAAUGAAUACAUGAAGUACUGACACAGUAAUCCCUACUUUUUGUUUUACAGUCACACAUUUAUGAGCACAAACCCCACAUUUGGCCUUUCCAAAGGUAAAUACUCAGUUUUCAGUCAAACAUUUAUGAACAUAAUUCACAAAUUUGGCCUUUCCAAAGGUAAAUACUCAGUUUUCAGUGUGACAUUUAUGAACACAAACCCUGAAUUUGGCCUUUCCAAAGGUUAAAUACUCAGUUUUCAGUCAAAUUUUUUACCACAAACACCAAAGUUGGCCUUUCCAAAGGUAAAGUCAGUUUUCAGUCACACAUUUAUAACAAAAAAACCCAAAUUUGGCCUUUCCAAAGGUAAAAAGUCAGUUUUUAGUCACAUUUAUGACCACAAACCCCAAAUUUGGCCUUUCCAAAAGGUAAACACUCUGUUUUCAGUCACACAUUUAUUACCACAAACACCAAAUUUGGUCUUUCCAAAGGUAAAUAGUCAGAUUUCAAUCACACAUUUGUGAGCACAAACCCCAAAUUUGGUCUUUCCAAAAGGUAAAUAGUCAGAUUUCAAUCACACAUUUGUGAGCACAAACCCCAAAUUUGGCCUUUCCAAAGGUAAAUAGUCAAUUUUCAGUCACACAUUUAUGGCCACAAACCCCAAAUAUGGCCUUUCCAAAUGUAAAUAACGUAUGUCCUUGAAUUCCCGCCGGGGCGCUAGUUAAUUUAAAACCUCUUCUCACUCAUGCGCUUACCAAAGGCAUGCGGUAAAAGUAAGCAUGCGCUAAUUAUUUUAAAACCUCUUCUCACUCCGGUACUUACCAAAGGUAUGCAGUAAAAAUUUGAGUGUGAUGUAAGCUUGGACCUUAAAUCCCACUGAAUAGCUCUUAAUCUUCUUCCAUUUAUGCGAUUUCAAAUUACCAGUAUUGAAAUCGGCCUCCUCCGUUUUGAAAAUGAUGACAGGGGAAGUGUCACUCGUGACGUCACGAGUUUGACCAGGCGGUAAUACCAAGCAUGCGCUAAUUAUUUUGGGAAGAGAGUUUGACCCGGCAGUAAUUCAAGGCAGGCGCAUACUUUAUGCCCUGCGGCAAUUCAAGGAAAUACGGUACUCAGUUUUCAGUCACAAAGUUAUGAGCACAAACGCCAAAUUUGGCCAUUCCAAAGGUAAAUACUCAAUUUUCAGUCACACAUUUAUGAGCACAAAUCCCAAAAUGUGGCCCUUUUGAAGGUAAAUACUCAGUUUUCAGUCAUACAUUUAUGACCACAAAUCCUGAAUUUGGCCUUUCCAAAGGUAAAUACUCAGUUUUCAGUCACACAGUUAUGAGCACAAAGGCCAAAUUUGGCCUUUCCAAAAGGUAAAUACUCAGUUUUCAGUCACACAUUUGUGAGCACAAAUCCCAAAUUUUGCCUUUCCAAAGGUAAAUACUCAAUUUUCAGUCAGACAUUUGUGAACACGAAUCCCAAAUGUUGCCCUUCUGAAGGUAAAUACUCAGUUUUCAGUCAGACAUUUGUGAGCACAAACCCAAAAUGUUGCCUUUCCGAAGGUAAAUACUCAAUUUUCAGUCACACAUUUUGUGAGCACAAAUCCCAAAUUUGGCCUUUCCAAAAGGUGAAUACUCAGUUUUCAGUCACACGUUUGUGAGCACAAACCCCAAAUUUGGACUUUCCGAAGGUAAAUACUCUGUUUUCAGUCACAUAUUUGUGAGCACAAACCCCAAAUUUUACCUUUCCAAAGGUAAAUACUCAAUUUUUAGUCACACAUUUAUGACCACAAACCCUGAAUUUGGCCUUUCCAAAAGGUAAAUACUCAGAAUACUCAGUUUUCAGUCACACAUUUGUGAGCACAAAUCCCAAAUGUAACCUUACCUAAGGUAAAUACUUCGUUUUCAAUCACACAUUUGUGAGCACAAACCCCAAAUUUUGGCCUUUCGAAAGGUAAAUACUCAAUUUUCAGUCACACAUUUGUGAGCACAACCCCAAGUUUAGCCUUUCCGAAGGUAAAUACUCAGUUUUCAGUCACACAUUUAUGACCACAAACCUUGAAUUUGGCCUUUCCAAAGUGAAUACUCUGUUUUCAGUCACACAUUUGUGAGCACAAACCCCUAAUUUGGCCUUCACAAAGGUAAACUCUGUUUUAAGUCACACAUUUAUGUCCACAAACCCUGAAUUUGGCCUUUCAAAAUGGUAAAGCCAGUUUUCAGUCACACAUUUAUAACUGUUGUAAGCACAAUACCAAUGGGCGCAAUUUUCAAAAUGAGCAUUUUGCAAGUUUAAUGUCAAAUCAAAUCAAAUGUUUAUUGGAUUCAUCACAGUGUACAUCCACGACUAAACUACUGACUAAACUACUACCACAACUUGGUUUACUAUUUAUAAAAUAUAAUAAUGUAGGGUUACCUGGAACUUGAAAUAGGCCACCCGACCUAAAUCCACACUUCCCUCGCCAAACACCUUCGUUUCCCAACCCUCCCGCUUGGAUAAAUAGGCAUUGAUGCCAUCUACGCAGUUUUGGGAGACUGUUUUGCUGUUAGAUCGCGUCCAAAUUUGCAAAGUGCGCGAGAUUGGUGAAAUGCUUAUAACAUAACCACAAACUCCAAAUUUGGCCUUUCCAAAGGUAAAUAGUCAGUUUUUAGUCACAUUAAUGACCACAAACCCCAAAUUUGGCCUCUACAAAAGGUAAAUAGUCAGUUUUUAGUCACAUUUAUGACCACAAACCCCAAAUUUGGCCUUUACAAAAGGUAAAUAGUCAGUUUUUAGUCACAUUUAUGACCACAAACCCCAAAUUUGGCCUUUACAAAGGUAAACACUGUUUUCAGUCACACAUUUAUGACCACAAACCCUGAAUUUGGCCUUUACAAAGGUAAACACUGUUUUCAGUCACACAUUUAUGACCACAAACCCUGAAUUUGGCCUUUCCAAAAGUAAAUACUCAGUUUUCAGUCACACAUUUAUAACCACAAACCCCGAAUUUGGUCUUUCCAAAGGUAAAUUGUCAGUUUUCAGUCACAUUUAUAACCACAAACCCCGAAUUUGGUCUUUCCAAAGCUAAAUAGUCAGUUUUCAGUCACACAUUUAUGACCACAAACCCCAAAUUUGGUCUUUCCGAAGGUAAAUACUCAGUUUUAAAUGACACAAAUAUUGCUUUGUGGUGGAUUGCAGUGCUUUAUUUUGUUAGAUUCUACCCGCGUCCUUCAAGAGUCCGAGGCCAUGUCCAUUCAUUCAAAGAAGGUCACAGAUGGAAAUUACAGCGUCGGUCUCAACUGAACAUCAGCGUGCUACUACCGUCAACAAUUCUUCGUUUUUCCUAUAGUCCGUGAAAAACAAAGUCCAUCUGGUCCAUACAAACAUGGUCAUGGUCCAGUCUUCAUGGAGGUGGGGGUGAGUCCAAGGAAUUUUAGUCCGGGUGGCUUUUGCACAACAAGGCCUUCAGAAGGGCCACACAUUGAAAAAAAUUGUGAUAUUUUUCAUUUUCAAAACCAACACGAUAUUUAUUGUAACUCUUAGGGCUGCCCUCAAUGUUGGUGAAUAUUCAAGGUCCCACGGACGCAAAAAGAUCAUUAAAAUAUUUAAAAUAUAAGUCAUACAUUGAUGUUUUUAUUUACCUUUUACACCUAAAUAUCUAUAGAUCAACUUCAGAUGUAUUCAUUGCCAUUACUGUUUUUUUAAUAAUUCUUCGUUCUUCCUAUAGUUCUUGCUAAACAAAGUCCAUCUGGUCCGGACAAACGUGGUCAUGGUUAAGUCUCCAUGAAGGCGGGGUCGAGUCCAAGGAUUUUUAGUCCGGGUGGCUUUUGCACAACAAGGUCAUCAUAAGGGCCACACACUGAAAAAUGAGAGAAUGCGGGGGACCAUUUUGAUAUUUUUUGUUUUCAAAACCAACAAUAUUUAUUGUAACCCUUAGGUCUUCCCUCAACGUUGGGGAAUAUUAGAGGACUCAUGGACGCGAAAGGGUCAUUAAAAUGUUAAAAAUAAGGCCUAUAUUGAUGUUUUUAUUUACUUUUGACGCUUAAAUAUCUCUAAAUCAACUUCAGAUAUAUUCGCUGCCAUUACUUUUUUCAAAAAAAUUUUUAUGCCGUUUUGUUAAAUAGGAAAAUACAAAAUAUGCAAUAUUUUCACCCGCAAAUUGUUCAAAGUGGAGCCUAAAAUAGGUAAAUAAUUCAUGACAACAUUGGUUUUGGUUCAUUAUCACAUCUUGGGCAAUGUCAGUUUUAAAAACCAAAUCUGAUUAAAGCUUUCAGAUAUCCAAAAGGUAUUUUACUCAUAGAUGUGUUAAAAAAUAAGUCAUAUAUCAAUAUGUGCUAUUUUUAAUUUAAGCGCUAAAAUCUGUAGAUCAACUUCAGAUUUAUCCAUCAGUUAGAAAUGAGGAUUAUUUUUUGAGCAUUUCAGCAGUUUUAAGUUACAAAAACUGUUCGAAUGGCAGCUUUUGUCAUUAGAUUCAACAUCAAUCAAUCAACGUUUCUUUAUAUAGACCUUCAUCACAAGUGUCUCAAAGGGCUGCACAAGCCACAACAACAUCCUCGGCUCAUUGCAACAUUCUAUCUUCACAUUUCACCUUUUUGCUCUUUUAUUCCACUUUUUAAUGUAUUUUUUUCUUCGUAUAGUAUUAUUUUUAGAAUGUGCCCUGAGCAAUUAAAAAACAUGUGGACACCCCUGAUCUAUAGGAUGUGUAAUUAUCUUAUUAUUUCUGAGUUUAGGAGACACAGAGUCACCAUUCUCAGCCCUGUGCAGUGAUUAGAAAUAACAAUAACACUUUCAUAAUAUUCCGAAAACAAAACAAAAAUUGACGUGAAAUAAAAGUUUGACGUAACCUAAAUGAACCUGCUUAUAGGGUAUUUAAGUGUGUAUUUGCUACAAUAUUAUAACAAUUUGUUUUGGAUAUACUUAACAAGUCACAUUAAGGAACAUGAUUCAUACAAUAUGGUAUACAAAAAAAAAUCAAAAACUUGUCUUACCUGUUAGUAUACAUUUUUUAUGUAUUUAGAUCCCCCUCAAUCCUGAACAUUUUAAAUCAAAUAGCGGAGAUAUUUAUAAAAUAAUCUUGUCUUCUUUCAAUAUUGCUCCAAAUAGGUUGUUUACAAUUUGAGACUUUCUCCCUAAAUGGUGAAGGUUCUUCUAUCGUCUUGUUGUGGGGCAGACUGACUCGUACAUGCACAUGCAUCCUCCCCAGUUUCCAUUUUUAAUAAAAAGUAGCGUAUAGUUCUGACUUAUAUCCGUCAGUAGACUCAAUAUAGAAGCAGUAAAAAAACUACAACAUGGCUGACGGGGCGAUGACACAGUCAAAGGGGGCUUAGCCUGGAAUAGAGUUUCCCCACGUGAUUAAGACCGCCCACAAAACAUCCUAAAGAGACGGCCAGAAAGCGGCUAGAAGAUGGUCUGUAAAAAAAAUUAAAAAAAAAUGAUGCAUCAUUUUGACGACAAGGAAGUGUUUAAAAUCUAGAAACACAUCUUAGUAUGACACCUCCUGUGUUUAAAUAUUGCAUAACUGCGAUAAAUUAAUUUCCACUAAUUAGGCGUUAUUCAUUAUAAAUCAAAUAUUUUUAUAGUUGGGGCAUUAAAAACUGUCCAUGACCAUCUAAAUAGUUUUUUUUUUUUACAUUUUGAGAGCCCUGUACUAAUGAAAUAACACUCUAGAGUCACCUUUACACUCGCUUAAUCCAAUAUAGUAAUGCUACCUGAUGCAGAGCCAAUCACAGGCCACGAUACUGAACACAUCACGCUCUGAUUGCUUUGGGCCAGGGGUCACCAACGCGGUGCCCGCGGGCACCAGGUAGCCCGUAAGGACUAGACGAGUAGACCGCUGGCCUGUUCUAAAAAUAGCUCAAAUAGCAGCACUUACCAGUGAGCUGCCUCUAUUUUUAAAAUUUUAUUUAUUUACUAGCAAGCUGGUCUCGCUUUGCUCAACGUUUUUAAUUCUAAGAGAGACAAAACUCAAAUAGAAUUAGAAAAUCCGAGAAAAUAUUUAAAAGACUUGUUUAAAUAUAUAUAUUUUUUUUUUUUUUUACUUUGCUUCUUAUAACUUUCAGAAAGACAAUUAUGGAGAAAAAAAUACAACCUUAAAAAUUAUUUUAGGAUUUUUAAACACAUAUACCUUAUUACCUUUUAAAUUCCUUCCUCUUCUUUUCUGACAAUUUAAAUCAAUGUUCAAGUAUUUUUUUUUUUUAUUGUAAAGAAUAAUAACUACAUUUUAAUUUAAUUCUUCAUUUUAGCUUCUGUUUUUUCGACAAAAGAUAUUUGUGAAAUAUUUCUUCAAACUUAUGAGUAAAAUUCAAAAACAUUCUGGCAAAUCUAGAAAAUCUGUAGAAUCAAUUUUAAAUCUUAUUUCAAAGUCUUUUGAAUUUCUUUUAAAACAUUUGUUCUGGAAAAUCUAGAAGAAAUAAUGAUUUAUCUUUGUUAGAAAUAUAGCUUGGUCCAAUUUGUUAUAUAUUCCAACAAAGUGCAGAUUGGAUUUUUACCUAUUUGAAACAUGUCAUCAAAAUUCUAAAAUUAAUCUUAAUCAGGAAAAAUUACUAAUGAUGUUUCAUAAAUUCUUUUUUUAAUUUUUUCAAAAAGAUUCAAAUUAGCUAGUUUUUCUCUUCUUUUUUUCGGUAGAAUUUUGAAUUUUAAAGAGUAAAAAUUGAAGAUAAAUUAUGUUUCAAAAUUUAAUUUUCUUUUUUUUUUCAUGUUUUCUCCUCUUUUAAACCGUUCAUUUAAGUGUUUUUUUCAUAAUUUAUUCUCUACAAAAAACCUUCCGUAAAAGGAAAAAAAAAAUGUACGACGGAAUGACAGAGAGAAAUACCCAUUUUUUUAUAUAUAUAGAUUUAUUUAUUAAAGGUAAAUAGAGCAAAUUGGCUAUUUCUGGCAAUUUAUUUAAGUGUGUAUCAAACUGGUAGCCCUUCGCAUUAAUCAGUACCCAAGAAGUAGCUCUUGGUUUCAAAAAGGUUGGUGACCCCUAGUUUAAACUAUAGGUCACGGGUGCCCACAUACAGAAAAAUGAUACACUAAACGUAUUGUAAGUCCAAAAUAUGUAAAGAAAAAACAGCUUAUAUUUGAGUUUUUAGAAUAAAUAGUUGUCUUUGUAAAAACACAACUAUGAAAUAUUUUAAUAUGUCAUAGGGGCAAUAAAAAAAAUAGCUGUCCCCUAGGCUGCCCUUCUGAACACCCCUUUUUUCCAGUUAAACGCUCAGUCUCCGUCUUGAAAACACCUUAUUUCCUUACAAAGUAUUGUUUUAGUGUAAGCUCUGUCUUUCUUUUGUUUUUUAAAUUAGUUUAUGAAUAUUGUGCACUUUACAGUAUUAAUCCAGAAUCAAUCGGUGCUACUUUUCAUCAUUACAUGACUAACAAUAUUUGGCUGCUAAAGGACACAAUGGUAAUUUCACUCUUGAUUAGUUGAGAACAAGUCCCUGAAUUCUGCGACAUAUUGUAAGGUUUACAACGCACACUGCCCCGUAAAGCGAUACGUUUGUGUAUGGAAGCGUAAACGACCUGUGUUGUGUUUCAUAAUGCUACACCAUGGCCACACGGGUGUUCUAAAACUGCACCUUUUGUUGUGUUGCCUUUUUUUUUUUUUUUCUUAGGUCAGUCGGUUUAGGACUGCGGGUUUUACUGUAAAACAACUUCAAAAAGGAGUUCUGGAAGCAUAACUACAGAGUAAGACAGUAUGUGCUAGCUGGAGUACUUUGUGACCCUAAAAACAAAGUCAUUGAGGACACAUUUUCUGGAACACAAAGGAAACAGAAGCAGAAAUCCAAUAUUUCCUGAUAUAUAUAUAUAUAUAUAUAUAUAUAUAUAUAUAUAUAUAUAUAUAUAUAUAUAUAUAUAUAUAUAUAUAUAUAUAUACAGUAUCUAUAUUUAUAUAUGUUAAUAUGUAUAUAUACAUAUGUAUGUGUGUAUGUGUUAUACAGUGCUCAAUACCGGGGUAAAGCAGACUAUACGUUAGGUCAGGAAAAAAACACACAGGCUAUUUCAUCCCUACAAGCCAGUUUCGCAAGUUUCCCUGCUCUUCAGGGGAUUUCCUGAUGGUGAACUAUGCCUGGGCAGAGCGAAGCCAUAGGAAACUCUGAUGGAGGCCCACAGUGGUCCGAACGUGCAAAUAAGUCGUACGACCUGGGUAUAAGGGCGAAAGACUAAUCGAACCAUCUGUUUCGCAGGUUUCCCUGCUCUUCAGGGAAUUUCCUGAUGGUGAACUGUGCCUGGGCAGGGCAAAGCCAGAGGAAACUCUGAUGGAGGCCCACAUUGGUCCUAACGUGAAAAUCGGUCGUACGGCCUGGGUAUAAGGGCGAAAGACUAAUCGAACCAUCUGUUUUGCAGGUUUCCCUGCUCUUCGAGAAAUCCCUUGAAGGGCAGGGAAACCUGCGAAAUAGGCUUGUAGGGAUAAAAUAGCCACUGUUUUUCCUGAUCUAACUUGUAUAUAUAUAAUAGUCGAGGUUACUGGUCUAUCGGUUAUACAGUGCCCAAUACCGGAGUGUAUAUGUAUGUAUAUAUAUAUAUAUAUAUAUAUAUAUAUGGAUUAUUUCCAUGGUAUGAUGGAGUGUUUACAUAAGAGUAUAAAUACGAUUUUGCUUCACAGGCCAGCAGACAAAGCUCAGUUCAUGUUCUGGUGCUAAAUGUUUAGCUCAAAAUGCAAGGCGGACAGAACCAAUAUAGAAAUGUAUUCCUGCGACUAAGUACUACGUAAAAUACUGCGCGUGCCAGUACCCAUAUUACAGAAUGUGUAUUCAUUGUUUAUGUAAGGUUUUGAAAAAGAGCAGCAUAUUUGUAUUUUUUAAAUGUAACACUUUCGAUAUUAUAUAUUAUAUAGAUGAAGACUGCUGGCAGCACUCGUCAAACACUCGUUUGUGUGACAACAUUAACAGAAUGUGUUGUGUUUUCUCCAAUAAAGAGAUUGUGAUCCAA
This is an RNA transcript of Nerophis ophidion (straightnose pipefish), 9779 nucleotides long. It is a transcript of the gene named fin bud initiation factor b, with no coding region annotated. The transcript is spliced from 2 exons. The record is from RefSeq and is a predicted model, not a curated record. NCBI's taxonomy places the organism in Eukaryota, Metazoa, Chordata, Actinopteri, Syngnathiformes, Syngnathidae.